AUGUAUGUGUGUGUGUUUGUGUCUAUCUAUCUAUCUAUCUAUCUAUCUAUCUAUCUAUCUAUCGACAAGAUAUAUUCAGAGGAAGUUUGCCAUUACCUUCUCCUAAAUAUAGCCUUCAUCACUUUGUAUUCCCUAAACAGGCCCAGCUCAGCUUAUCCUAUAUACACAAAGAUAAAUUCAGAAAUUUUACUUAAAAAAUCAACCCAAAAAACCUGGGUUGACAUGGGUGAAUGUGAGUACUGUACCUUAAGAUUUAUAAAAAAGGAACCAUCUGUUAUCGAACACCACUACCCCCUCCCAAAUAAAAAGGAUCUAUAGUUUGGGGAUCUAUAGUUUGCUAAGGACAUCAGGCUAAAAUGGUAUGAAAGGGUUAAUUCUUGGUCACCCGAUGACAGGAGUAGCAGCAGCAUGGACUCCUUUUCUCUCUGGCUAUAUCUGUAUACAGCUUAUCUGGUUAUAUAUAUAUUUACUAGCUGUGCCCGGCCACGCGUUGCUGUGGCGAAACAUGGUGGUUUGGGAAAUAAAGUAUUGAGGAAUUGGUGGUAGUUAAGGUCAAGGGUAAAGGUUUUCCCCUGACAUUAAGUCCAGUCGUGUCUGACUCAGGGGGUUGGUGCUCAUCUCCAUUUCUAAGCCGAAGAGCCGGCGUUGUCCGUAGACUCCUCCAAGGUCAUGUGGGAUGACUGCAUGGAGCGGCGUUACCUUCCCGCCGGAGCAGUACCUAUUGAUGCACUCACAUUUGCAUGUUUCCGAACUUCUGGGUUGGCAGAAGCUGGGGCUAACAGUGGGGGCUCUCUCCGCUCCCCCAAUUCAAACCUGUGGCCUUUCGGUCCAGAAGUUCAGCAGCUCAGCGCUUUAACACGCUGCGCCAUCAGGGGAUAUUAUUUCCUAAAGGUUGUGAAUAUACAAUAUUUCUGAUUGGUUUUUUUUGUUUGUUGGAGGCAAGUAUGAAUGCUGCAAUUAGGAAAAAUGAUUAGGAUGUAAUGGCCUUGCAGCUUUAAAGCCUGGCUGUUUCCUCCCUAAGUGAUUUUUUUCUUGGGAGGUGUUAGCUGGCCCUGAUUGUUUCCUGUCUGGAAUUCCCUUGUUUUCAGAGUGGUAUUGUUUGCGAUAUUUUAUGUGCUUCUACUGUCUGUGGCCCUGAGAAAAUAGAGGAUUUUCCAGACUUUGAUUAUGGGAAUACUUUGUUGGGAGGUGUUAGCUGGCCCUGAUUGUUUCCUGUGUGGAAUUCCCCUGUUUAUUUACUGUCCUGGUUUUAGAGAUUAUAUUGUUCUGCAUUAUUCUAUCCCAGUAAUUAUUUCAUAUUAAAGAAGAAUCUCACUUAUCCAACAUUCGCUUAUACAAUGUUCUGGAUUAUCCAACGCAGUCUGCCUUUUCAUAAUCAAUGUUUUUGUAGUCAGUGUUUUAAAUUCAUUGUGAUAUUUUAGUGGUAAAUUUGUAAAUACAGUACAGUAGAGUCUCACUUAUCCAACAUAAAUGGGCCGGCAGAACGUUGGAUAAGCGAAUAUGUUGGAUAAUGAGGAAUUAAGGAUAACCCUAUUAAACAUCAAAUUAAGUUAUGAUUUUACAAAUUAAGCACCAAAACAUCAUGUUAGACAACAAAUUUGUCAGAAAAAGUAGUUCAGUACACAGUAAUGCUAUGUAGUAAUUACUGUAUUUAUGAAUUUAGCACCAAAAUAUCACGAUAUAUUGAAAACAUUGACUACAAAAAUGCAUUGGAUAAUCCAGAAUGUUGGAUAAGUGAGACUCUACUGUAAAUACUACAUAGCAUUACUGUGCAUGGAACUACUUUUUCUGUCAAAUUUGUUGUAUAAUAUGAUGUUUUGGUGCUUAAUUUGUAUAACGAUUACCUAAUUUGAUGUUUAAUUGGCUUUUCCUGAAUCCCUUCUUAUUAUCCAACAUAUUCACUUAUCCUGCCGGCCUGUUUACGUUGGAUAAGUGAGACUCUACUGUAUAUUUCUAAUCUUAUAUUAUCUGCUCAGAACUGGAUUAUAUGAGGCUCCUUCUUCACAGCUGUAUAAAAUGCACACUGAAGUGGAUUAUAUGGCAGUGUGGAGUGAAGAUAAUCCAGUGCAAAGCAGAUAAUAUAAGAUUAUAAAUGGGUUAUAUUGCUGUGUUGAAGGGCCUUGAGUCUACACUGCCAUAUAAUCCAGUUAAAAUCUGAUAAUCUGUGGAAGAAGCCUAAGUAAGGCCUAAAUCUGCCUGUCCCCGAACUGAAACCUGGCUGUCCCUUGGUUGCUAGGCAACGAAGUGGGCAGAGAUUAGCCCUCUAAACUGGCAGCAAUUGGAUAAAAAAAAUUAUUGAUCUCCCUCUAAUUAGGACUUUGUUUUUCUUUUCUUUUUGUUGUAUCAACCUUGAGGCGUGGAUGAUGGGUUGUGUUGUCAAAUUUUGAGGUUGGGGGGCCUGUACUUUUGUUGUUUUGUGAAUUGCCGUGAUGCCAUCACUCUUUUAUAUAUAUAGAUAGUAGAAAUGAACAUGUGGCAAAUGUGCUAGAAUCACAGCUACCAGGGACAUUAGCCUGUGCUUGAGCAGCCACAGGCAAUGGCUCACAAACACAGAAAUUUCAAGGCUUUUUGUGUAGCUGGGGUGAGAGAAGGUAUUUACAUUUCUAUACUCUAGCCUGGGAAAGUAUAUUCAAACAGUCAGGGUAAAAACCAAGAAAACAAUUACUUUAUUUUAUUUCUGCAAUACAGAAUCAGCUUGAGGCCCAGAUGAUAACGACACAAACUAUACAAAGGGCUUUCUUACCCAAGCUUUUGUGGGAGUUUGUUAUCUGGCCACUCUAGUUAGUUUGAAGGUAGUUUUGAACUGCAUUAGAUGGGCAGUCUAUAUAGUGCCACAGUGUCUUCUACACACACACAGUGUAUGUGUGUGUGUAGGAGACAUUAGCAUGGCAUCUACGUGGUUACCCGGGCUAUCAAUCUAACUCAACACGGCUCCUUUAAGGUUCUUAUUGAGUUACUAAAAUCUAAUCUAAGCCUUGAACACACACACAUAUGUGUUCUCGAGACAAGAAACACAGUUUCAGUUCACAAUAUGUCAUAUGGGAAUAAUUAUAUUGUCUUAAAUUAGGGAAGAGCUAUAAAGAUUACAGAGAUAAUGUAAAGAGCAAUUAAUGUUUAUAUGUUGUGUUAAAAUUACAUGUGUUUUGCAAACCAAGUCCAAAGGUUUUAGAUUUUAGAAACAACCUGUGAUCUUUGGUGCAGCAGGUGAAAAGAUGACAGCCCUAGUGACUGACAUUGUGUUUUAAAUGAGUUGUUAAAACAAUCUCAGCAACUGCCAGUUCAAUACACUGUUGUUUUUUCUCGCCUUUUUGCUUCCCUUCUCUUUGCUCCAGGGGAUUCAACAGACGCUCAGAGUCUAUAAUAAGUUAUUCCUAGGCAGCCUCCAUGCUGAUUCUAUGGAUUUCCAUUUCCACACAUUCCCCUCUAGACUGCUGCUAACUAAUAUCCUCAUUUCUCCAGCGCUCCCCCAGGGAUUGUUCUCAUUCAACUCUGUCCUUCUGGGAUUAAAGACAUUCAUAUUACUGGUGGGAAAACAAUUUCUGAAUUUUGUCGGCACUUUUCAGAGCAAGUUUCUCUCCUUGUAGCACAAUUAAACAAGACAAGCUGGAAGAAAAAUACAAUUUAAUAUGUUUUUAUUAGACAUGUUGUGUGGUGGAUGGAGCUCACUGCUGCUUUAAGUCACUUAAAAGUAAUGCUUCCAUGAGCUUCACAGAAUUUGCAGGAAUUCUGCUUUUUAUUUUAUUUCCUCAGACUACUUUUUCACAAGGAAAAGUUAUAAUAUGUAUGGAAUCUGCAAUAUGGAAGGUGGCAGCCUGUCCCCCGACAUUACAAAGUACACCCAUUUUGGCCUUGUUUCUGCCAACUCUAGUUCCAAUCCUGUUUUAAUGCAGGUUGUGACUGACUUAAACUGAGGUUGUGUGGAUGUUGAUAGGAAAAGGUUUCUGCCACUUUGAUAUAUAAAAAAGAGCCAAUGAUACAGAAAUAUUGCCUACUCCCGAGCAUGCUUUGGCAGAGCUCAGGAGUGGGCAAUGGCUGGCCUUCCAGAUGUUGCUGAAUUAGCUAGCAUAUCCACUGAUGGGGAGUUCUGGCAUAGUAGUUUAACAGCAUGAUCUGUAGGAUUAAGUCAUGCGUGCCCACAUGGGCCAAAUUAAAUGGACUCACUUUGCAACUGCUGCAAGGAGACCACAUGACAUAUGGCUGGUUUUGCAUCUUAAGUGCCGGUUUCCACCAUUAAUCCAGAGCAAGGCAAAUUGGAAUUUAGAGGACUGCUCCAGAAUGAUCCUAAUGUUUAUUGAAUUGUGAAUAGCUGGUUCAGACUGGAUCUGGUGCCAUCUGUAUCCACACUUCAAAAAGACCCACCCCUGUUUUGCCAACCAGAAGCAAGU
Molecule: long non-coding RNA, 4385 nt
Filed under: Anolis carolinensis (green anole)
Lineage: Eukaryota; Metazoa; Chordata; Lepidosauria; Squamata; Anolidae
Description: lncRNA (ENSACAG00000043063.1)
Source: RNAcentral